This 253-nucleotide ribosomal RNA is filed under the name uncultured bacterium. Its description in RNAcentral is "partial 16S ribosomal RNA". It matches the Rfam family "Bacterial small subunit ribosomal RNA", at positions 524 to 776 of the family's 1533-position model. The record is from RNAcentral.
UACGUAGGGUGCGAGCGUUAAUCGGAAUUACUGGGCGUAAAGCGUGCGCAGGCGGUUCGCCAAGUCAGGUGUGAAAUCCCCGGGCUUAACCUGGGAAUUGCGCUUGAAACUAGCGGGCUUGAGUGUGGCAGAGGGGGGUGGAAUUCCACGUGUAGCGGUGGAAUGCGCAGAUAUCAGGAGGAACACCUAUAGCGAAGGCAGCUUGCUGGGACGUUACUGACGCUAAGGCGCGAAAGCGUGGGGAGCGAACAGG